Molecule: ribosomal RNA, 432 nt
Filed under: uncultured bacterium
Lineage: Bacteria
Description: partial 16S ribosomal RNA
Rfam family: Bacterial small subunit ribosomal RNA
Source: RNAcentral
AACGAACGCUGGCGGCAUGCCUAACACAUGCAAGUCGAACGAGACCUUCGGGUCUAGUGGCGCACGGGUGCGUAACGCGUGGGAACCUGCCCUUAGGUUCGGAAUAACUCCCCGAAAGGGGUGCUAAUACCGGAUAAUGUCUUCGGACCAAAGAUUUAUCGCCUUUGGAUGGGCCCGCGUUGGAUUAGCUAGUUGGUAGGGUAAAAGCCUACCAAGGCGACGAUCCAUAGCUGGUCUGAGAGGAUGAUCAGCCGCACUGGGACUGAGACACGGCCCAGACUCCUACGGGAGGCAGCAGUGGGGAAUAUUGGACAAUGGGCGAAAGCCUGAUCCAGCAAUGCCGCGUGAGUGAUGAAGGCCUUAGGGUUGUAAAGCUCUUUUACCCGGGAUGAUAAUGACAGGACCGGGAGAAGAAACUCCGGCUAACUCCGU